ACAACAUUUAGACAAUCGUUCUACCAAGCAAUAUCCCUCACUCGGUGGAAGAUCUUCCCUUUUUCAU
RNAcentral lists this microRNA precursor (67 nucleotides) under Bombyx mori (domestic silkworm). RNAcentral's name for it is "mir-2774 microRNA precursor family". It matches the Rfam family "mir-2774 microRNA precursor family". The record is from Rfam by way of RNAcentral. Lineage: Eukaryota; Metazoa; Arthropoda; Insecta; Lepidoptera; Bombycidae.